Molecule: non-coding RNA, 46 nt
Organism: Bacillus sp. X1(2014)
Lineage: Bacteria; Bacillati; Bacillota; Bacilli; Caryophanales; Bacillaceae
Source: Rfam
ACGAUGUUCCGCUGCAUUGAAGUUUAUUGGUAUGUAAGAGCAUCUG